RNAcentral lists this ribosomal RNA (1248 nucleotides) under Acanthaspis pedestris. RNAcentral describes it as "16S ribosomal RNA". The stretch from base 798 to 1152 matches the Rfam family "Bacterial large subunit ribosomal RNA", at positions 2079 to 2642 of the family's 2925-position model. Lineage: Eukaryota; Metazoa; Arthropoda; Insecta; Hemiptera; Reduviidae. The record is from RNAcentral.
UUAUUAUUUUUUAAUAAAAGUAAUUUAUUUUUUAGUAGUUUUUAUGGGAAUAAUUUGUUUGAUUUUAGUUUAUAGUACUGUGAAGGAAUUUUUUAAUUUUGUUUGAAGUAGUUUUUAUUUAAUGUACCUUUUGUAUCAGGGUCGAUUAAAUUAUUAAUAUCUAUUUUAUUUUUCCCGAAAGGGAGAGAGAUAGAUUAAAAUGCUAUUUUUUGUUUCAAAAAAAUUGGUAAUUUUAAUUUAGUAAUGAUAUGUUAUUCAUUCUUUCUAUAUCUGGUUUUCUUAGAAUUUAAUUUAAUUAAGGCUUAAUUUUAAUUUUUUGUAUUUCAUUAUUUGUUUUAAGCUAAGAUUUUGGGGGAUAAGCUCUGGAUUUAUUUCUAUAAUUAUUGUUUAUGUUGGAGUAUUGUAGGCUUAGAAUCAGCCAUCACUAAUUUCGUUAUAGAUUAUCUUUUUUUUGUUUUUAUUUUUUUUUAUUUAGUUAUUUAUAGGAUUAAUUUAUAUAAUUUUAUUUUAUUUGUGAUAAUGAUUGAAUUAGUAGUUUUAAUAAUUAGUUUAUAGUAACUAGGCAAUUUUAGUUUCCGCCUGUUUAACAAAAACAUGUCCUUUUGUAUUUAUUUAUUUAAGGUCUGACCUGCCCAAUGAUUUUUUGAAUGGCCGCGGUAUAUUAACCGUGCUAAGGUAGCAUAAUCAUUUGUCUUUUAAUUAAGGGCUUGUAUGAAUGGUUGGACGAGAUACUAUCUUUCUUUAAAUUAAUUUUUUGAAUUUAAUUUUCUGGUUAAAAAGCUUGAAUGUUUUAAUGGGACGAGAAGACCCUGUAGAUCUUUAAUUUGAGUUUUCUUAAUUUAAUUUAGUUGUUUGACUUAUUUAAGUUAAUUUUUAUUUGAGUUGGGGCGAUUGCGGAAUUUUAAUAACUUCUGUUUAUAUUUAUCAUUUAUUAGUGAGUUAAUGAUCCAUUAUUAUUGAUUAUAAGAUUAAGGUACCUCAGGGAUAACAGCGUAAUUCCAUUGGAUAGUUCGUAUUGAUAGUGGAGUUUGCGACCUCGAUGUUGGAUUAAAAUAAGUAGUAGGUGUAGCAUCUUACUUACUAGGUCUGUUCGACCUUUAAAUUUUUACAUGAUCUGAGUUCAGACCGGCGUGAGCCAGGUCAGUUUCUAUCUUUUAAUAUAUAAAAUAUCCUAGUACGAAAGGACCGGGUAUUUAAAUUAAAUUUUUGUAUUUUGAUUAAUAUUACUAUCUUGGCAGAUAAGUGCGU